CCCCUAGACGUUCUGGGCUGCACGCGCGCUACAAUAAUACGCACAGCGAGUAUCACCGAGCUCGAAAGGGCAAGGUAAACAAUAGAAAAGGUACUGUAAUGGUUAUAGAUCCUUGUAAUUAUUGAUCUUCAACGAGGAAUUCCUAGUAAGUAUGUUUCAUCAUCACGCACUGAUUACGUCCCUGCCCUUUGUACACACCGCCCGUCGCUCCUACCGAUUGGGUGAGCCGAUGAAACUCUCGGAUGUAGGCUAUUCAUAGCCCGCAGAAGAGAUUUGAAUCGUAGCGCUUAGAGGAAGGAGAAGUCGUAACA
RNAcentral lists this ribosomal RNA (311 nucleotides) under uncultured eukaryote. RNAcentral's name for it is "partial 18S ribosomal RNA". It matches the Rfam family "Eukaryotic small subunit ribosomal RNA", at positions 1470 to 1796 of the family's 1831-position model. The record is from RNAcentral.